Molecule: long non-coding RNA, 906 nt
Organism: Armigeres subalbatus
Lineage: Eukaryota; Metazoa; Arthropoda; Insecta; Diptera; Culicidae
Exons: 3
Source: RefSeq, a predicted model, not a curated record
UUGUAACUUGCCCUUCAGAACAACUGUGUUGGCAGGCACUAUGCAAUGCGCAGAAGAGCUGUUAUAUGUGCUCUUGAAACUCUGCAAACCAACACAGAGGUUCGAGUUUAAAUAAAAUCAUGUUCAAAUCACCACACUAACAACACAAUACAACAGAACACCUUAUCUACGGAUCGGUUGUAGUUAAUUGACAUCCGAUCACACCGUAAGCCUUUCAGGCUCCGCUGGGUGUAAAUUGCUGCUCGAGGAACGACAAAAUCUGCCAUGAAAAUACAGUGAAGGGUCACCACACACAUCCGACUAAGUAAUUAGAUCCCGAUGCGAAGUCACUCAAUCUCACGUUAACACCUUGUCGGACUAACGAGAGAGCGCCUGCGAUAUGGAUAUAGCUUGUACCUACUUGGAUCACUGCAUCAGUUUCUGGUUAAUCGUUAAGCAGAGUACAUCUGAAAACACGAUAACAGUAGUGUAACACGUGAUCACAGUACCUAGGAAAUUAUAUCUAGUGAUUUUUUCUCUGACCGGAAACGAGUGAAUCGUUUGAGGUUCCCUAGAUUGGAGUGUGCAUGGCCUGGCCCAGGCGGCCAUGGUACCAAUACUAAGGGCAAUACCCCAGCAUUUGUGCCGCUUUCAAAGCAACCUAGCAACUACAACCUAGACUCCACAGAACGUCAUUUAGAUAUCACGAGCCGAUUGCAGCGUGCCUCCGAAUGUUUACGCAGGUGGAGAACUUGUUUAAGUUUGGUGAAGCGUCCAGUAGAUUUUCGAAGAAGCUGUACAAUUCAGUGUUAAUUUAGUAUUGUAGUAAUUGUAAUUUAAUAUUAUAUCAUUCAUUAAGACUUUGGGUCAGAUGAAAAUUUUUAACAAAUAAACAAAUAAACAAAUAAACAAAUACAUCAUGGAGCG